This 638-nucleotide ribosomal RNA is filed under the name uncultured bacterium. RNAcentral's name for it is "bacterial SSU rRNA". It matches the Rfam family "Bacterial small subunit ribosomal RNA", at positions 81 to 736 of the family's 1533-position model. The record is from RNAcentral.
UAUGAUAUGACUGAGUGGCGGACGGGUGAGUAACGCGUGAGUAACCUGCCCUUCAGAGGGGGAUAGCGUUUGGAAACGAACGGUAAUACCGCAUAAUGUAUUUUGACCGCAUGAUCGAAAUACCAAAGAUUUAUCGCUGAAGGAUGGACUCGCGUCUGAUUAGGUAGUUGGUGGGGUAACGGCCUACCAAGCCGACGAUCAGUAGCCGGACUGAGAGGUUGAUCGGCCACAUUGGGACUGAGACACGGCCCAGACUCCUACGGGAGGCAGCAGUGGGGAAUAUUGCACAAUGGGCGCAAGCCUGAUGCAGCAACGCCGCGUGAAGGAAGACGGUUUUCGGAUUGUAAACUUCUGUUCUUAGUGAAGAAUAAUGGCGGUAGCUAAGGAGCAAGCCACGGCUAACUACGUGCCAGCAGCCGCGGUAAUACGUAGGUGGCAAGCGUUGUCCGGAAUUACUGGGUGUAAAGGGAGCGCAGGCGGGUGAUCAAGUCAGCUGUGAAAACUACGGGCUUAACCCGUAGACUGCAGUUGAAACUGUUCAUCUUGAGUGAAGUAGAGGUUGGCGGAAUUCCGAGUGUAGCGGUGAAAUGCGUAGAUAUUCGGAGGAACACCGGUGGCGAAGGCGGCCAACUGGGCUU